This 1312-nucleotide long non-coding RNA is filed under the name Capra hircus (goat). RNAcentral describes it as "lncRNA (ENSCHIG00010005223.1)". Lineage: Eukaryota; Metazoa; Chordata; Mammalia; Artiodactyla; Bovidae. The record is from RNAcentral.
AUGAGGAUUUUGUUGUUUUUCUCUCUGAUUUGGUCAUCUGUUUCUUUCCGCAUUGCUUUUUCCUUUCUGAAGAAAGGCCAGACUAUUUCCAAUUUAAGCCAGCACCUCAAGGCUUUUUGUAAUCUUGUAGCUGCUCUCCUUCCUCUUCUUUCUUCCUUCCCCAGAGCGCAUUACAGAAGGAUUGCAGCUAUUUCUUAAUUUUAAACAGUUGCUUUCGGGGGCGAAAAAAAAAUCAAUAAAUUUUAAAAAAUCAGCACCUCUCUGUCGCUUUUUAUCGUUUUAAUUUGUCAUUUGACUUGCCUGUGGUUUCAUCUCUUUCAGGAGACAACAGAUCUUUAUCAGAAGAGUUAACUUACGGCAUUUUUUAACACAAACUGGGAUUUUGAUGUAUUAGGGACUUCCUGUUAUUGCCUUUCCCCAGAUCUUUUUUUUAUCCCCCCAAAUAUCUCACCUCCUUUUCUCCCUGUUUCUUCCCCUCUCUUUCUUUCUCUCCAAGGGGUAAAGGAGUUGAUCGUGCUAUUUCUGUUUUGGGCACUCACUGACAGUCCUGUCCCUAGAGGUUACCCCAUUGCUCAGUAAUUACCCAAUUUCUAUAUAAGCACAGGUGCCUUGGGUUCAGAGGCCUUUUCCUUCUGUCUUUGUUGGGGGAAAUGGAGACAGCUGAGGGUGUUUCAUUUGGGGAGAUUUGCUAAUGUAUAUUUUACCACUCCCCUACUAGUGGAGGUGGAGACAGGAGUUCAACUGAGUAACAACUAAAAAUUUUAAAAAUUGCUGGCUGUGAACUGGAGCUUGUUUGACCCGGGCUCAUUUGACUCCCUGACAUCACAUCAGUCAAUUGAACCCCUCAGACUCCAAGUUCAUGUCCCUGGAUUGCAAAACCUUCAGUUCUUAAAGGUUGUCAUUUUCAAAACAAAACUAAGCUAUAAUUACCAGUUUAAUCACUUAUCUUCUGACAUUAGCCCAAUAUUUUAACCAUCAAUAAACCAAAGUCCCUCAAGAAGUUUGUACCACACUAAGACAGAAUUUUCUUCCAAAGUCUGAAAGCGUGGGCUGUUGUUUUCUGGACAGUGAAGCAAAUAUCAGUGUUGAGACCUGGGUCCUCAGGAGGCUAACUCUGAGCUGGAGAUGAGCAGGCAGGAUGUUUGUGAAAGGGAGGCCCCGGCACCAGAGGAAGGAAGAGCAAGGAAAGAAAUAGGACUGGGCAACGGGUGACAGUGGGCUCUAGGCCAUGUUUGACGUCCCCAAGGUGUCUCAUUGAGAGAGGCUUGGUCAGCUGGUCGCUGGACGUGGGCCAUGUCUCCAAAGUUCUAAC